UCUUUGGUAAGGUUGUUUUUCCUAUGUAUCCAUUAGCAUUAUGAAUUUUGCUCUUAAAAUUUGUCUUUUGCAUGUAUUUGUAUGCUGUUUUUAAUAACCAGGAAUGAGAGAAUCAAGAUGAAGAAAAUAUUUUAAAGCGGUCUCUGGAUGUUUCUGCUCUUCAGCUGCUCAUGGAGAGUUUGUAAGGCUCUUGUGAAACCACGUAGAAGCCAAACUGAUGGUGUUGUUCCACAAAGCACAGCACGGGAUCUUCUAAGGAGGUGAGAGUUUUCUUGGAAAUCCACACUGCAGGUGGCACAUGUGUGCAGGUUCCUUAGGGGAGAAAAUGAGAAGAUGGUGACACUUGCAAAGUGAUGUAAGAGUGAGUUGUACUGUGUGCGCACAAGGAGAAGGAGAGGCUCACACCAUGCUGCCUACCCCCA
RNAcentral lists this long non-coding RNA (422 nucleotides) under Anser brachyrhynchus (Pink-footed goose). RNAcentral's name for it is "lncRNA (ENSABRG00000001194.1)". The record is from RNAcentral. Lineage: Eukaryota; Metazoa; Chordata; Aves; Anseriformes; Anatidae.